RNAcentral lists this ribosomal RNA (253 nucleotides) under uncultured bacterium. RNAcentral's name for it is "partial 16S ribosomal RNA". It matches the Rfam family "Bacterial small subunit ribosomal RNA", at positions 524 to 776 of the family's 1533-position model. The record is from RNAcentral.
UACAGAGACUGCAAGCGUUAUUCGGAUUCACUGGGCGUAAAGGGUGCGCAGGCGGCCGUGUGUGUCAGGUGUGAAAGCCCGGGGCUUAACCCCGGAAUUGCACCUCAAACUACACGGCUAGAGCAUUGGAGAGGGUAGCAGAAUUCACGGUGUAGCAGUGAAAUGCGUAGAUAUCGAGAGGAACACCUGCGGCGAAGGCGGCUCACUGGACUGGUACUGACGCUGAUGCGCGAAAGCGUGGGGAGCAAACAGG